CUCAAGAGGUUUAACGUUGGGGAGGAUUGCCCUGUUUUCUAUGAGCUUUUUGAGUUUUGUCAGGCAUCUGCCGGUGGCUCGAUUGGGGCUGCUGUCAAGCUCAANNNNNGGGUGAUGCCGAUAUCGCGUUGAACUGGGCUGGUGGCUUGCAUCAUGCUAAGAAGAGUGAGGCGUCCGGAUUUUGUUAUGUUAAUGAUAUUGUGCUGGGGAUUCUCGAGUUGCUUAAGGUUCACAGGCGUGUCCUGUAUGUUGAUAUUGAUGUCCACCAUGGAGAUGGUGUUGAAGAGGCGUUCUAUACUACUGACAGGGUCAUGACAGUGUCCUUUCAUAAAUUCGGAGAUUUCUUUCCAGGAACAGGGCAUAUAAAGGACACUGGUACUGGGCAAGGGAAGAACUAUGCUCUGAAUAUCCCAUUAAAUGAUGGGAUGAAUGAUGAAAGUUUCCGC
Molecule: unclassified non-coding RNA, 446 nt
Filed under: Hevea brasiliensis (rubber tree)
Lineage: Eukaryota; Viridiplantae; Streptophyta; Magnoliopsida; Malpighiales; Euphorbiaceae
Source: RNAcentral